This 1512-nucleotide unclassified non-coding RNA is filed under the name Hevea brasiliensis (rubber tree). Lineage: Eukaryota; Viridiplantae; Streptophyta; Magnoliopsida; Malpighiales; Euphorbiaceae. The record is from RNAcentral.
GUGGCCUUGAAUGCACUAAGAAAUUUGGAGUUUCUCUUCCCCUUCCUUUGCGUGCCCAUGAAAGAUUAAACAGAGAUAAGGAAACAAAUAUAGGGCUCUAACAUGAGCUGCUCUUUCAGCUUGCAAAUCCCCAAGGCUUUGCCUUGUCCCUCUCCUCAGCCUUACUGCAGAAAACCCCCUCUCUACAUUAUAGCUAAAUACAAACCAAUCCGCGCAGCCAAGCUUGAUAGGGUAACAUUUUUUUUUUCUCUUUUUCUUUGUUUGAAAUUAUAAAAUUCCAUAGUAAUUUUGAACAAUUGCACAACUCUUCAUGUUCACACCAGAAAGUUACGAGCAUCAGUAGAAAGCCUGAAGACAACAAUGAUGUGAAGAAGUUCAGCUUGGCAGUUCAACUUGGUGCACUUUUGGCCACUGUAAGAUAUGGAAAUUGAUUUGUCCUUAAUCACCUCGUUUUCUUUGUCUUGGCCAUGAAUCCCAGUUCUUGAGAUUGAAUAACUCAAUCAGGUUGAGCAGCCAGCAUUUGCAGUGACUGGGGUGAAUAAUGAGGAGGAUUUGACAUGGGUUUUGAUACAAUUGGCAAUUGUUGCCUUUUGGUAUUUCCUCAUUAUGCCACCAAUAAUCAUGAACUGGCUUAGGGUAAGAUGGUACAGGAGAAAGCUCUUUGAGAUGUACUUACAGUUCAUGUUUGUCUUCAUUUUCUUCCCAGGGUAAGUUUGCCCCCCUUUUCAAGAUUAGCUAAUCACCCGAAGAAACCACAUUAGAUUAAAUUCAAUUGCGUAAAGAUUCUUGAUUCGCACCCAAUAAAUAAGAGGAAAAAAUUUUUUUUAAAAAAAAGGAAAAAUGUUGUGCUUCUUGCAAUGUUUGGCAAACAAUUGAAUUAUUUUCCACCUUGUGCAGGAUACUACUUUGGGCACCAUUUCUGAACUUCAGGAAAUUUCCAAGGGAUCCAUCCUUGAAGUAUCCAUGGUCUACACCUGAAAACCCAUCACAAGUCAAAAAUGCGUUUAGCAAGUACCCUUAUGCUACACCCGAAGAUUAUGACUGAAAAUUGCUUACAAUUCUUUCACAACUUAGGGCCCUUGGAAAGCUCCCUUGUAUCGAAUAACUUAAUGGGAUCUCUUCUGAGAAUCUUUUUUAUACAAUUAUUUGAACUCCGAAUUGUUGCAAACCACAUAAUUUCUCUUCUUUCUUUGCCUUCUGUAGUGAUCUCUCAGAUAAUGAGAGAAUCAGAAAUUUGUGUCCGUACAUCUUUUAUUGCCAUCAAUUCUCUCGACAAAAUUGCAUUGAUAGGAGUAAAACCAUUUUCUUUUUAACAAGAGAGGAGCAACCUAAUGAGAGACAACUGAAGAUAAUGGAAGACUAGCCAAACAAAUUGUACCGAGAGGAAAAACAUGUAUUGAGAGGCGUAACUAUUAGCUUCCCUAUAAACAUAAAAAAAUCUGAUCAGACCGAUUGGCUUUAAUCAUGUCCUUGAUUAGAGCAAUGAGAUGGUCAUUGCAGCUAAGAGCAACA